RNAcentral lists this ribosomal RNA (350 nucleotides) under Clostridioides difficile. RNAcentral's name for it is "bacterial SSU rRNA". It matches the Rfam family "Bacterial small subunit ribosomal RNA", at positions 1 to 358 of the family's 1533-position model. Lineage: Bacteria; Bacillati; Bacillota; Clostridia; Peptostreptococcales; Peptostreptococcaceae. The record is from RNAcentral.
UUUUAUUUGAGAGUUUGAUCCUGGCUCAGGAUGAACGCUGGCGGCGUGCCUAACACAUGCAAGUUGAGCGAUUUACUUCGGUAAAGAGCGGCGGACGGGUGAGUAACGCGUGGGUAACCUCCCCUGUACACACGGAUAACAUACCGAAAGGUAUGCUAAUACGGGAUAAUAUAUUUGAGAGGCAUCUCUUGAAUAUCAAAGGUGAGCCAGUACAGGAUGGACCCGCGUCUGAUUAGCUAGUUGGUAAGGUAACGGCUUACCAAGGCGACGAUCAGUAGCCGACCUGAGAGGGUGAUCGGCCACAUUGGAACUGAGACACGGUCCAAACUCCUACGGGAGGCAGCAGUGGG